UACGUAGGGUGCAAGCGUUAAUCGGAAUUACUGGGCGUAAAGCGUGCGCAGGCGGCUUUGCAAGACAGAUGUGAAAUCCCCGGGCUCAACCUGGGAACUGCAUUUGUGACUGCAUGGCUGGAGUGCGGCAGAGGGGGAUGGAAUUCCGCGUGUAGCAGUGAAAUGCGUAGAUAUGCGGAGGAACACCGAUGGCGAAGGCAAUCCCCGUGGGCCUGCACU
Molecule: ribosomal RNA, 219 nt
Filed under: uncultured bacterium
Lineage: Bacteria
Description: partial 16S ribosomal RNA
Rfam family: Bacterial small subunit ribosomal RNA
Source: RNAcentral